This 439-nucleotide ribosomal RNA is filed under the name uncultured bacterium. RNAcentral's name for it is "bacterial SSU rRNA". It matches the Rfam family "Bacterial small subunit ribosomal RNA", at positions 52 to 518 of the family's 1533-position model. The record is from RNAcentral.
CACAUGCAAGUGAGCGGAUUGAUGAUAGCUUGCUAUUGAUCAUGAGAGCAGCGCACUGGUGAGUAACACGUGGGAACAUACCUUUUGGUGGGGACGAACAGUUGGAAACGACUGCUAAUACCGACAUAAGCCCUAAGGGGGAAAGAUUUAUCGGCCGAGAGAUUGGCCCGCGGAAGAUUAGGUAGUAGGUGGGGUAACGGCCUACCUAGCCGACGAUCUAUAGCUGGUCUGAGAGGACGAUCAGCCACAUUGGAACUGAGACACGGUCCAGACUCCUACGGGAGGCAGCAGUGAGGAAUAUUGGGCAAUGGAGGCAACUCUGAACCCCAGCCAUGCCGCGUGAGUGAAGAAGGUUUUCGGAUUGUAAAGCUCUUUCAGACGGGAAGAUGAUGACGGUACCGUCAGAAGAAGCACCGGCUAACUUCGUGCCAGCCGCCGC